AUGGCCAUCGCUAAUUCAUAUGAUGCAGAGCAGGAUGCCUUUAUCAUUAAUGGGAGACCAUGUAGGAUCACACUAGAAGAUGUAGUGCAUAUAACAGGCUUGCCCUGCCAUGGGAAGAAGCACGCCCCUUCAAAUCUUGAUGAUAAUAUGGAGUUGUGGAAGAAACUGAAAGACCAUAAUCACACCAAAAUAACUUUGGAACGAUUGCUAGCCAGGAUGAAAGGCGGCAUCACACCAAAUUUUGUCAGGCCAUUUGUCUUGUACACCAUAGGCAAAUAUGUAUGCCGAACAAAAGAGGAGUAUGUGGAGAACAAAUAUAUUGGGAUUGUUAGAAACAUUGAGACGACAAAGGGCACAAAACUUGGACAGCUAACGCUUGACUAUCUUAUGGAUAGCAUGAAGAAUUUUGUAAAUGGUGAGGCAAUUCUAGAGGGGAAUCUACCACUACUGCAGUAUGUGGAGGACCUGAUGAGGCCUUUCAUUCCAGCACGAGAUGGUACGCUGGCCAAACCAAAGACUGUCGCUCAGAUUAAGGUACUCGUCGGACGUGUAUUGACCGAUUUGCAAGAAGUUGACUCCCUCGUGCGGGAGGCCGGUGCAGAACAAGUUGUUACGAUGUGCACGCUUGAAAAGAAAAUGGAUGAGUGCCUUAGGCGUACUAGUACAAAUGGCAAGAUCACAGAGGACCUCAUCAAAGAAUUGAACAAAAAACGUGAUGAAAUAUUUCCAAGAGGGGAGGACAUACAUCUUUCUGACCUCGGGGCACCUUCACACCCAAUGGAGGCCUCUGUUGAGAAUGCUGAGCAGGCUUCUGACUAG
This 819-nucleotide ribosomal RNA is filed under the name Triticum aestivum (bread wheat). Its description in RNAcentral is "partial small subunit ribosomal RNA". The record is from RNAcentral. Lineage: Eukaryota; Viridiplantae; Streptophyta; Magnoliopsida; Poales; Poaceae.